UCAAGUGACUAAGCGCAUACGGUGGAUGCCUUGGCAGUCAGAGGCGAUGAAGGACGUAGUAGCCUGCGAUAUGCUUCGGGGAGUCGGCAAACAGACUUUGAUCCGGAGAUUUCCGAAUGGGGAAACCCACCCUUUACGGGUAUCUUACACUGAAUACAUAGGUGUAAGAGGCGAACCCGGGGAACUGAAACAUCUAAGUACCCGGAGGAAAAGAAAUCAAUUGAGAUUCCCACAGUAGCGGCGAGCGACCUGGGAUCAGCCCUAAAGAACUUGGUGUGAUAGUGAAACGGUCUGGAAAGUCCGGCGAUACAGGGUGAUAGCCCCGUACACGAAAUCUAUCCUUGUUUUAUUCGAGUAGGUCGGGACACGUGUUAUCUUGACUGAACAUGGGGGGACCAUCCUCCAAGGCUAAAUACUACUGACUGACCGAUAGUGAACCAGUACCGUGAGGGAAAGGCGAAAAGAACCCCGGAGAGGGGAGUGAAAUAGAACCUGAAACCGUAUGCGUACAAGCAGUGGGAGCACCUUCGUGGUGUGACUGCGUACCUUUUGUAUAAUGGGUCAGCGACUUAUUGUCUGUAGCAAGCUUAACCGUUUAGGGGAGGCGUAGGGAAACCGAGUCUUAAUAGGGCGCAUAGUUGCAGGCAAUAGACCCGAAACCGGGCGAUCUAUCCAUGGCCAGGUUGAAGGUGCCGUAACAGGCACUGGAGGACCGAACCCACUAACGUUGAAAAGUUAGGGGAUGAGCUGUGGAUCGGAGUGAAAGGCUAAUCAAGCUCGGAGAUAGCUGGUUCUCCUCGAAAUCUAUUUAGGUAGAGCGUCGUGUCUUACCCUGGGGGGUAGAGCACUGUUUGGGCUAGGGGGUCAUCCCGACUUACCAAACCCAUGCAAACUCCGAAUACCCAGGAGUACAAUCACGGCAGACAGACAGCGGGUGCUAACGUCCGUUGUCAAGAGGGAAACAACCCAGACCGCCAGCUAAGGUCCCAAAUACCAAUUAAGUGGGAAACGAUGUGGGAAGGCUUAGACAGCUAGGAGGUUGGCUUAGAAGCAGCCAUCCUUUAAAGAAAGCGUAAUAGCUCACUAGUCGAGUCGGCCUGCGCGGAAGAUGUAACGGGGCUAAAUUGGUAACCGAAGCUGCGGAUGCGUGCUUGCACGCAUGGUAGAGGAGCGUUCUGUAAGCCGUUGAAGGUGAACCGAGAGGUUUGCUGGAGGUAUCAGAAGUGCGAAUGCUGACAUGAGUAACGACAAGGGGAGUGAAAAACUCCCCCGCCGGAAGAUCAAGGUUUCCUACGCAACGCUAAUCGGCGUAGGGUGAGUCGGCCCCUAAGGCGAGGGAGAAAUCCGUAGUCGAUGGGAAACAGGUUAAUAUUCCUGUACUUUUUCUUACUGCGAUGGAGGGACGGAGAAGGCUAGGCCAGCACGGCGAUGGUAGUCCGUGUUUAAGGUAGUAGGCUGGAAUCUUAGGUAAAUCCGGGAUUCUAAGGCCGAGAACUGAUGACGAGUCCUCUUUUGGACGAAGUGGUUGAUGCCAUGCUUCCAGGAAAAGCUUCUAAGCUUCAGGUAAGAAAGAACCGUACUGUAAACCGACACAGGUGAUCAGGUAGAGAAUACCAAGGCGCUUGAGAGAACUCGGGUGAAGGAACUAGGCAAAAUGGUACCGUAACUUCGGGAGAAGGUACGCCGGUUUUGGUGAUGAGACUUGCUCUCUAAGCUGAGGCCGGCCGAAGUGACCAGGUGGCUGCGACUGUUUAUUAAAAACAUAGCACUCUGCAAACACGUAAGUGGACGUAUAGGGUGUGACGCCUGCCCGGUGCCGGAAGGUUAAUUGAUGGGGUUAGCUUAUGCGAAGCUCUUGAUCGAAGCCCCGGUAAACGGCGGCCGUAACUAUAACGGUCCUAAGGUAGCGAAAUUCCUUGUCGGGUAAGUUCCGACCUGCACGAAUGGCGUAACGAUGGCCACACUGUCUCCACCCGAGACUCAGUGAAAUUGAAAUCGCGGUGAAGAUGCCGUGUACCCGCGGCUAGACGGAAAGACCCCGUGAACCUUUACUAUAGCUUCACACUGGACUUUGACUUUAUUUGUGUAGGAUAGCUGGGAGGCUUUGAACUAUGGACGCCAGUUCAUAGGGAGCCAACCUUGAAAUACCAGCCUGAUAACGUUGAGGUUCUAACCUAGGUCCAUUAU
Molecule: ribosomal RNA, 2187 nt
Filed under: marine metagenome
Description: bacterial LSU rRNA
Rfam family: Bacterial large subunit ribosomal RNA
Source: RNAcentral